RNAcentral lists this long non-coding RNA (906 nucleotides) under Drosophila guanche. The record is from RNAcentral. Lineage: Eukaryota; Metazoa; Arthropoda; Insecta; Diptera; Drosophilidae.
UUGUGUGAGUUUGGUGUGAAACCAAAAGGUUGCUGUGAAGUUCUGAUGUUUUAGGCUUAGAGUUGGCUUUUUACUGAAAUUUAUUUGAGAACCAGCUUCUGAAUUGCUUGGAAAAGCAAAAACACGUAGAAAUCAAAUCACAAUUUAAAUAUUCCCGCAAAGCGAGGAAUUUUGAGAGUAACUUCUGCGUGCAACAUGCGAAAAGUGAGCGGCAGUGCUCUUCAACGUGGGCACGAAAUAAGCCACAUUCUGGUCCCCUUGCGGCGAUGUAAAUGGGGGAACAUCGAACAAAUUAUUCUUUCAGUUCUGAAAGUCUAAACUAAAUGGUAAUAUUAAUCAGAACAUCAAAAUUGAGGUAAAUAUUUAUUAUCUAUAGUAUAUAUGGAAGUGUGAACGUAUAUUAUUUUUGGUAUAUUUCUGGGGUAUUUUUGUGCUCACAUUUGAAACGCAAAAAUGCAUACGGGAGAGCGUUUAAUAGGAGAGAAUUUCCCUGACCGUUUAGAGACAGGAAUGAAUUUCCCUGUAUAUGAACAGCGCGCUCAGCUUGCUAUAUUUGAAUUGAACGCUCUUUUACUACCAGAAGAUGUCAAACUAUCGGUUGUUUUGCAACUUGUAGAGACAGGUGAAAGAGAGAGGAGCUACUAUACUCGUUACUAUCGAUGGUUGAGGAAUUAACCAACCAUCGAUAGUAACGAUGGUGCUACCGGUUUUUCUCCCAGCCCUGGUCACGCUGCGUGCGACGCCAAAAACCGCGUUUUUGUUUUUAUUGAAGAAAUUGCCUAAGAAACUUCCAAGAAUUGCACUGAUGUGGAGGGCGGAGGCGCAAUUAAGAAGCGCACCAUCGACGUGGAGGCUGGACGACUGCCAUACUUCUCGGAUUUGCAGCUGUGCCCAGUGGCCUGACGG